This 2902-nucleotide ribosomal RNA is filed under the name Shigella flexneri. RNAcentral's name for it is "23S ribosomal RNA". It matches the Rfam family "Bacterial large subunit ribosomal RNA". The record is from RNAcentral. Lineage: Bacteria; Pseudomonadati; Pseudomonadota; Gammaproteobacteria; Enterobacterales; Enterobacteriaceae.
GGUUAAGCGACUAAGCGUACACGGUGGAUGCCCUGGCAGUCAGAGGCGAUGAAGGACGUGCUAAUCUGCGAUAAGCGUCGGUAAGGUGAUAUGAACCGUUAUAACCGGCGAUUUCCGAAUGGGGAAACCCAGUGUGAUUCGUCACACUAUCAUUAACUGAAUCCAUAGGUUAAUGAGGCGAACCGGGGGAACUGAAACAUCUAAGUACCCCGAGGAAAAGAAAUCAACCGAGAUUCCCCCAGUAGCGGCGAGCGAACGGGGAGCAGCCCAGAGCCUGAAUCAGUGUGUGUGUUAGUGGAAGCGUCUGGAAAGGCGUGCGAUACAGGGUGACAGCCCCGUACACAAAAAUGCACAUACUGUGAGCUCGAUGAGUAGGGCGGGACACGUGGUAUCCUGUCUGAAUAUGGGGGACCAUCCUCCAAGGCUAAAUACUCCUGACUGACCGAUAGUGAACCAGUACCGUGAGGGAAAGGCGAAAAGAACCCCGGCGAGGGGAGUGAAAAAGAACCUGAAACCGUGUACGUACAAGCAGUGGGAGCACGCUUAGGCGUGUGACUGCGUACCUUUUGUAUAAUGGGUCAGCGACUUAUAUUCUGUAGCAAGGUUAACCGAAUAGGGGAGCCGAAGGGAAACCGAGUCUUAACUGGGCGUUAAGUUGCAGGGUAUAGACCCGAAACCCGGUGAUCUAGCCAUGGGCAGGUUGAAGGUUGGGUAACACUAACUGGAGGACCGAACCGACUAAUGUUGAAAAAUUAGCGGAUGACUUGUGGCUGGGGGUGAAAGGCCAAUCAAACCGGGAGAUAGCUGGUUCUCCCCGAAAGCUAUUUAGGUAGCGCCUCGUGAAUUCAUCUCCGGGGGUAGAGCACUGUUUCGGCAAGGGGGUCAUCCCGACUUACCAACCCGAUGCAAACUGCGAAUACCGGAGAAUGUUAUCACGGGAGACACACGGCGGGUGCUAACGUCCGUCGUGAAGAGGGAAACAACCCAGACCGCCAGCUAAGGUCCCAAAGUCAUGGUUAAGUGGGAAACGAUGUGGGAAGGCCCAGACAGCCAGGAUGUUGGCUUAGAAGCAGCCAUCAUUUAAAGAAAGCGUAAUAGCUCACUGGUCGAGUCGGCCUGCGCGGAAGAUGUAACGGGGCUAAACCAUGCACCGAAGCUGCGGCAGCGACGCUUAUGCGUUGUUGGGUAGGGGAGCGUUCUGUAAGCCUGUGAAGGUGUGCUGUGAGGUAUGCUGGAGGUAUCAGAAGUGCGAAUGCUGACAUAAGUAACGAUAAAGCGGGUGAAAAGCCCGCUCGCCGGAAGACCAAGGGUUCCUGUCCAACGUUAAUCGGGGCAGGGUGAGUCGACCCCUAAGGCGAGGCCGAAAGGCGUAGUCGAUGGGAAACAGGUUAAUAUUCCUGUACUUGGUGUUACUGCGAAGGGGGACGGAGAAGGCUAUGUUGGCCGGGCGACGGUUGUCCCGGUUUAAGCGUGUAGGCUGGUUUUCCAGGCAAAUCCGGAAAAUCAAGGCCGAGGCGUGAUGACGAGGCACUACGGUGCUGAAGCAACAAAUGCCCUGCUUCCAGGAAAAGCCUCUAAGCAUCAGGUAACAUCAAAUCGUACCCCAAACCGACACAGGUGGUCAGGUAGAGAAUACCAAGGCGCUUGAGAGAACUCGGGUGAAGGAACUAGGCAAAAUGGUGCCGUAACUUCGGGAGAAGGCACGCUGAUACGUAGGUGAAGCGACUUGCUCGUGGAGCUGAAAUCAGUCGAAGAUACCAGCUGGCUGCAACUGUUUAUUAAAAACACAGCACUGUGCAAACACGAAAGUGGACGUAUACGGUGUGACGCCUGCCCGGUGCCGGAAGGUUAAUUGAUGGGGUUAGCGCAAGCGAAGCUCUUGAUCGAAGCCCCGGUAAACGGCGGCCGUAACUAUAACGGUCCUAAGGUAGCGAAAUUCCUUGUCGGGUAAGUUCCGACCUGCACGAAUGGCGUAAUGAUGGCCAGGCUGUCUCCACCCGAGACUCAGUGAAAUUGAACUCGCUGUGAAGAUGCAGUGUACCCGCGGCAAGACGGAAAGACCCCGUGAACCUUUACUAUAGCUUGACACUGAACAUUGAGCCUUGAUGUGUAGGAUAGGUGGGAGGCUUUGAAGUGUGGACGCCAGUCUGCAUGGAGCCGACCUUGAAAUACCACCCUUUAAUGUUUGAUGUUCUAACGUGGACCCGUGAUCCGGGUUGCGGACAGUGUCUGGUGGGUAGUUUGACUGGGGCGGUCUCCUCCUAAAGAGUAACGGAGGAGCACGAAGGUUGGCUAAUCCUGGUCGGACAUCAGGAGGUUAGUGCAAUGGCAUAAGCCAGCUUGACUGCGAGCGUGACGGCGCGAGCAGGUGCGAAAGCAGGUCAUAGUGAUCCGGUGGUUCUGAAUGGAAGGGCCAUCGCUCAACGGAUAAAAGGUACUCCGGGGAUAACAGGCUGAUACCGCCCAAGAGUUCAUAUCGACGGCGGUGUUUGGCACCUCGAUGUCGGCUCAUCACAUCCUGGGGCUGAAGUAGGUCCCAAGGGUAUGGCUGUUCGCCAUUUAAAGUGGUACGCGAGCUGGGUUUAGAACGUCGUGAGACAGUUCGGUCCCUAUCUGCCGUGGGCGCUGGAGAACUGAGGGGGGCUGCUCCUAGUACGAGAGGACCGGAGUGGACGCAUCACUGGUGUUCGGGUUGUCAUGCCAAUGGCACUGCCCGGUAGCUAAAUGCGGAAGAGAUAAGUGCUGAAAGCAUCUAAGCACGAAACUUGCCCCGAGAUGAGUUCUCCCUGACCCUUUAAGGGUCCUGAAGGAACGUUGAAGACGACGACGUUGAUAGGCCGGGUGUGUAAGCGCAGCGAUGCGUUGAGCUAACCGGUACUAAUGAACCGUGAGGCUUAACCUU